AAAGCCUUAGUAAAAUUAUUACAUAGCCCUGUCAGAGCUAAAUUAUGGACUUUCCCCCCAUAGACUUUA
RNAcentral lists this transfer RNA (69 nucleotides) under Polychrus marmoratus (common monkey lizard). Its description in RNAcentral is "tRNA-Asp". The record is from RNAcentral. Lineage: Eukaryota; Metazoa; Chordata; Lepidosauria; Squamata; Polychrotidae.